RNAcentral lists this transfer RNA (72 nucleotides) under Aspergillus ruber CBS 135680. RNAcentral's name for it is "tRNA-Pro (TGG) (tRNA-Pro-TGG-2-1)". It matches the Rfam family "tRNA". From Rfam's summary of the family: Transfer RNA (tRNA) molecules are approximately 80 nucleotides in length. Their secondary structure includes four short double-helical elements and three loops (D, anti-codon, and T loops). The record is from RNAcentral. Lineage: Eukaryota; Fungi; Ascomycota; Eurotiomycetes; Eurotiales; Aspergillaceae.
GGCUUAGUGGUCUAGUCGUAUGAUUCUCGCUUUGGGUGCGAGAGGUCCCGGGUUCAAUUCCCGGCUGAGCCC